Molecule: ribosomal RNA, 74 nt
Filed under: Caerostris darwini
Lineage: Eukaryota; Metazoa; Arthropoda; Arachnida; Araneae; Araneidae
Source: RNAcentral
AUCACCGAAGUCAAGCAUCAUUGGGCGCGGUCAGUACUUGGGUGGGUGACCACCUGGCAACACCGCGUGCCGUU